This 468-nucleotide ribosomal RNA is filed under the name uncultured bacterium. RNAcentral describes it as "partial 16S ribosomal RNA". It matches the Rfam family "Bacterial small subunit ribosomal RNA", at positions 28 to 507 of the family's 1533-position model. The record is from RNAcentral.
GACGAACGCUGGCGGCGUGCUUAACACAUGCAAGUCGAACGGAAAGGCCCUGCUUUUGUGGGUUGCUCGAGUGGCGAACGGGUGAGUAACACGUGAGUAACCUGCCCUUGACUUUGGGAUAACUUCAGGCAACUGGGGCUCAUACCGGAUAGGAGCUCCUGCUGCAUGGUGGGGGUUGGAAAGCAUCGGCGGUGGGGGAAGGACUCGCGGCUUAUCAGCUUGUUGGUGGGGUAGUGGCUUACCAAGGCUUUGACGGGUAGCCGGCCUGAGAGGGUGACCGGACACAUUGGGUCUGAGAUACGGCACAGACUACUACGGGAGGCAGGAGUGGGGAAUAUUGCACAAUGGGCGGAAGCCUGAUGCAGCAACGCCGCGUGCGGGAUGACGGGCUUCGGGUUGUAAACCGCUGUCGCCUGUGACGAAGAGUGAGUGACGGUAAUGGGUAAAGAAGCACCGGCUAACUACGUG